Molecule: ribosomal RNA, 636 nt
Filed under: Prochilodus vimboides
Lineage: Eukaryota; Metazoa; Chordata; Actinopteri; Characiformes; Prochilodontidae
Description: partial large subunit ribosomal RNA
Rfam family: Bacterial large subunit ribosomal RNA
Source: RNAcentral
ACCAAAAACAUCGCCUCCUGCAUAAUAACUCAACGUAUAGGAGGUCCUGCCUGCCCAGUGACAACUAGUUAAACGGCCGCGGUAUUUUGACCGUGCUAAGGUAGCGCAAUCACUUGUCUUUUAAAUGAGGACCUGUAUGAAUGGCGGAACGAGGGCUUAACUGUCUCCUUUUCCUAGUCAAUGAAAUUGAUCUACCCGUGCAGAAGCGGGUAUACUAAUACAAGACGAGAAGACCCUUUGGAGCUUAAGAUAAAAGGCCAACUAUGUCAAAGGCCCAAAUAAAACUAAGCCAAACAAAACAGCCAACUGGCCAAUAUCUUCGGUUGGGGCGACCGCGGGGGAAAACAAAGCCCCCACGUGGAACGGGGAAUAUACCCUAAAACCAAGAGAGACAUCUCUAAGUCACAGAACAUCUGACCAAAAGAUCCGGCCAACCAAGCCGAUCAACGGACCAAGUUACCCUAGGGAUAACAGCGCAAUCCCCUCCAAGAGUUCAUAUCGACAAGGGGGUUUACGACCUCGAUGUUGGAUCAGGACAUCCUAAUGGUGCAGCCGCUAUUAAGGGUUCGUUUGUUCAACGAUUAAAGUCCUACGUGAUCUGAGUUCAGACCGGAGCAAUCCAGGUCAGUUUCUAUC